This 582-nucleotide small RNA is filed under the name Pan troglodytes (chimpanzee). Its description in RNAcentral is "processed transcript". Lineage: Eukaryota; Metazoa; Chordata; Mammalia; Primates; Hominidae. The record is from RNAcentral.
GUCCGCGCCAUGGCCGCCUCGCCGGGCUCGGGCAGCGCCAACCCGCGGAAGUUCAGUGAGAAGAUCGCGCUGCACACGCAGAGACAGGCCGAGGAGACGCGGGCCUUCGAGCAGCUCAUGACCGACCUCACCCUGUCGCGGGUUCAAUUUCAGAAGCUUCAGCAACUGCGCCUUACACAGUACCAUGGAGGAUCCUUACCAAAUGUGAGCCAGCUGCGGAGCAGUGCGUCAGAGUUUCAGAUUCUGUAUUUAUUUGAGCUGCCCAGCCCAGGCCUGCAGGAUAGGGCCCCACUCCAUCAAGGCUCCUGUUUCCUCCUGAGCCCGAGCAGAUGAUACCUUCUCUUAUAGCCUCCAUCCUUCUUCCCAGAACACUCCAGGUACUAUUUUCUAUUUUCUGGGGGCAUUUGGCAUAGUUCACUGUUUCCUGAGAGGCAGCAUAGCUUAGCGGAGAGCUCUCAGGCUUUGGUGUCAGUGAUUUGUGGGUCUGACCCCUGAUCCACCAGGCGUGCUAUCUGAUCUUGGAUUUCUCAGCUCUUCUAGAACUGAGCCUCAGUUUCUUCAGCUAUAAAAUGGGGAAAAUAU